GUUUAUGAUCAUACCACCCUGAAUGCACCUGAUCUUAUCUGAUCUCAGAAACUAAGUGGAGCCAGGUUUGGUAUGUCCUUGGAUGGGAGAAUAUCUUUAAAGAAGGUCUAAAGGGCCCAGAGU
This 123-nucleotide ribosomal RNA is filed under the name Jaculus jaculus (lesser Egyptian jerboa). Lineage: Eukaryota; Metazoa; Chordata; Mammalia; Rodentia; Dipodidae. The record is from RNAcentral.